Molecule: small nucleolar RNA, 82 nt
Filed under: Neofusicoccum parvum UCRNP2
Lineage: Eukaryota; Fungi; Ascomycota; Dothideomycetes; Botryosphaeriales; Botryosphaeriaceae
Description: A. fimigatus snoRNA Afu_298
Rfam family: A. fimigatus snoRNA Afu_298
Source: Rfam by way of RNAcentral
CUGAAUGAUUAGAAAUUUUUAACCCUGAUCUACACCAUGAAGAUCAAAACAGCGACAACAACACUCUAAUUUUUUAAUGACA